This 649-nucleotide ribosomal RNA is filed under the name uncultured bacterium. Its description in RNAcentral is "bacterial SSU rRNA". It matches the Rfam family "Bacterial small subunit ribosomal RNA", at positions 56 to 700 of the family's 1533-position model. The record is from RNAcentral.
UGCAGUCGAGCGGAGAUGAGGUGCUUGCACCUUAUCUUAGCGGCGGACGGGUGAGUAAUGCUUAGGAAUCUGCCAUUUAGUGGGGGACAACAUUCCGAAAGGAAUGCUAAUACCGCAUACGUCCUACGGGAGAAAGCAGGGGAUCUUCGGACCUUGCGCUAAAUGAUGAGCCUAAGUCGGAUUAGCUAGUUGGUGGGGUAAAGGCCUACCAAGGCGACGAUCUGUAGCGGGUCUGAGAGGAUGAUCCGCCACACUGGGACUGAGACACGGCCCAGACUCCUACGGGAGGCAGCAGUGGGGAAUAUUGGACAAUGGGCGGAAGCCUGAUCCAGCCAUGCCGCGUGUGUGAAGAAGGCCUUUUGGUUGUAAAGCACUUUAAGCGAGGAGGAGGCUACCUAGAUUAAUACUCUGGGAUAGUGGACGUUACUCGCAGAAUAAGCACCGGCUAACUCUGUGCCAGCAGCCGCGGUAAUACAGAGGGUGCGAGCGUUAAUCGGAUUUACUGGGCGUAAAGCGUGCGUAGGCGGCUGAUUAAGUCGGAUGUGAAAUCCCUGAGCUUAACUUAGGAAUUGCAUUCGAUACUGGUCAGCUAGAGUAUGGGAGAGGAUGGUAGAAUUCCAGGUGUAGCGGUGAAAUGCGUAGAGAUCUG